This 1172-nucleotide long non-coding RNA is filed under the name Homo sapiens (human). RNAcentral's name for it is "non-protein coding lnc-LRRC10B-1:6". The record is from RNAcentral. Lineage: Eukaryota; Metazoa; Chordata; Mammalia; Primates; Hominidae.
UCAGCUUUCAACAGAUCAGGCAGGUCUCAGUUUCCUGCCUUCCUGGGAAGUGGGGAAAGGCUGAGAGGCCCCGUGCUGGGGGUGAAGCUAAUUCAUUAGUUACGCCUCAACAAGGACCGGGUGCCUGCAGUGCCAGCGUGAUUCAUCAUGAUGAUUGCCCCACUGCCAGCCUGCGUGGGCCUGGAACGCCAGCACAUUUUACCUUUACCCACUGAGAAGGGCCUGGUGGGAGGUGAAGGUACAGGAUCUGCCGAGAGCAAGAAAAAGACUCUGAGAAAGAAGAGGGCUGGUCCUCCAUGCUCUCGGCCCCAGGAAGCUCUGCCAGGCUGGUGCCGGGGUGGAGAGGCUCAUGUGGGCUCAUGUGGUGCUGCCUGUGCUGAUGGAGCCCAAGAGGGCAGCCUGGCGCUGGGUGCCAGCCUGAGCAUGUGGCGAGGCUGGGCUGCUGAGCCUCCUCCUCCACAGCCAAUGUUCCCUCAAACUGCUUGGGGGUGGGGGGAGGGACUCAUCCUCAUCCCAUUAGCCUGGCUGGGUAUUCCCUACCUUUCUGGUCUCUGAGAGACUUACCUCUUCCAAGAAGUCCUCCCGAAUGAGUAGAAGGGAGAGAGCUGGAUUGGAACUUAAGUGACAUCUGGGAGGAGCCUGAAGCCCCUCCGGUUGGGGCUGAGACUCCUAUACCCUAGGUCUGGUGUCUGGGUUCCACCUGGGUCCUCUACCUUGGCCUGGAUUCCUGCUUUCGUUUUGCCAGUCUCUCCCAGGAUGGGGGUGCAUGGCUGGUUCGUGGCUCAGAGCAACAUCUGCCUCUGUGUCCCCCCAUCAUCUGUCCGCCCCCUAACACCUCUUGCCAUAUUAGAAUUGCUAUUGCUCUGUCCUUUCAUUCAUGUAUCCAACAAAUAUAUAUUAUCUGAAAAAAAGCAUGUGCUGAAUAAUUUCAUUUGUGUGAAAUUCAAGAACAGGGAAAACUGAUCCAUAAGGAUAGAGGUCAGGAUCAUAGUUGCCUCUGUGAGGUGGGGAUUGACCGCAAGAGGCUUGAGAGAACUCUUGGGUUGAUGGAAAUGGGACAGGGGUGUGUACAUUUGUCAAAACGCAUCCAAGAAGACACUUACGAUCUAUGCAUUUCACUGUAUGCAAUGUUUGCCUCCACUUUUUUUGUUAAGUUUUUUUCAGCAAGGCGC